UCCUUCUGUUUAUUCGUGUGCUGC
This 24-nucleotide non-coding RNA is filed under the name Rattus norvegicus (Norway rat). The record is from RNAcentral. Lineage: Eukaryota; Metazoa; Chordata; Mammalia; Rodentia; Muridae.